RNAcentral lists this small RNA (911 nucleotides) under Pan troglodytes (chimpanzee). RNAcentral describes it as "retained intron". The record is from RNAcentral. Lineage: Eukaryota; Metazoa; Chordata; Mammalia; Primates; Hominidae.
UCUCUUCUUUGUUCGGCAUCCCCCUUCUCAUAUAAUAGCUCUUGUCUCUUCCCUCAACCUGUCCAUCUGAGAAAUGCUUAGUACCUGAUUGCUUCUGACUGAAGUGAAAUGGUCAUGCAGCUUUAGGCAGAACAGGGAACCAAACAAAAAUGUGUCUGUUUUUUGGAGCUGACUAGAUGUUGCAGAGAAUGGAAGUCCUCUCAUAACCCCUAGGUCCUGAUCGAGCACAUUGGAAACCUGGACCGGGCAUAUGAGUUUGCGGAGAGAUGCAAUGAGCCUGCUGUGUGGAGUCAGCUGGCCCAAGCCCAGCUCCAGAAAGAUUUGGUGAAGGAAGCCAUCAACUCCUAUAUCAGAGGGGACGACCCUUCCUCUUACCUGGAAGUUGUUCAGUCAGCCAGCAGGAGCAGUUGGAGACCGCUGUUACGAGGAGGGAAUGUACGAGGCUGCCAAGCUGCUCUAUAGCAAUGUUUCUAACUUUGCCCGCCUGGCUUCCACCUUGGUUCACCUCGGUGUGCUUUGCCUGUGUGGAUGGACAGGAGUUCCGCUUUGCACAGCUGUGUGGUCUUCACAUCGUCAUUCAUGCAGAUGAGCUGGAGGAGCUGAUGUGCUAUUACCAGGAUCGUGGCUACUUUGAGGAGCUGAUCUUGCUGUUGGAAGCGGCCCUGGGCCUGGAGCGGGCCCACAUGGGCAUGUUCACUGAGCUGGCCAUCCUCUACUCCAAAUUCAAGCCACAGAAGAUGCUGGAGCAUCUGGAGCUUUUCUGGUCCCGUGUCAACAUCCCAAAGGUACCGUGUAUUCCUUGCAGUCUGGCAGCCGUGGCCACGUGCAGCACAAGCCGACCCUGACCUCCUUGUCCAGGUGCUGAGGGCUGCAGAGCAGGCACACCUGUGGGCUGAGCUGGUGUUCCUCUA